Molecule: long non-coding RNA, 213 nt
Filed under: Elaeis guineensis (African oil palm)
Lineage: Eukaryota; Viridiplantae; Streptophyta; Magnoliopsida; Arecales; Arecaceae
Description: long non-coding RNA (EGUI_LNC066853)
Source: RNAcentral
UUUGUCACACAUAUUAGGUGCCUUCAUAAGGUGCCAGUGUGUGGGAGGAUAGAGAUCAACAUAGGUUUUGAAAUUCAAACAACUUUGAAUUCAAAACCAACCCAAGCUAAUCCUAUCACUAAUGGGUGACAAUAGAAGGGCUUUGGCAUGGACUAUUCAAUGCACAAACUAAUUUGUGCGAUGAAAGAAGGAAUGCAGAGAAGGGAAGGUGCA